Molecule: long non-coding RNA, 298 nt
Organism: Bombus pascuorum
Lineage: Eukaryota; Metazoa; Arthropoda; Insecta; Hymenoptera; Apidae
Exons: 2
Source: RefSeq, a predicted model, not a curated record
AUCUGCGCUUCCUCUAAUGCGUAUCAUUCGAAUUUAAUCCUUAUCGAAGCUGGAGGAUGGGGAUAGCAUCAAUGAACGUCGAAAAGAGGGAGAAUAGGGGUCAAAGUCAAACGGUAACGAAGCUUGGCUCAGUUGUCACGACAUCGCUGUACUAGCCGGCCGCAUUCAGCCGUUUCUGCAAUUACUGUCAACUCUUUCGACGCUGCAACAGUUGAAGUGCAGAAUCGAGAUUCAACGAAAAUUCUAAAUUCAUCAUCGUCCAACAACAUUAUCGUAACAUACACUCGUCACAUUUUUC